Molecule: ribosomal RNA, 253 nt
Filed under: uncultured bacterium
Lineage: Bacteria
Description: partial 16S ribosomal RNA
Rfam family: Bacterial small subunit ribosomal RNA
Source: RNAcentral
UACGUAGGGUGCAAGCGUUGUCCGGAAUUAUUGGGCGUAAAGAGCUCGUAGGCGGUCUGUCGCGUCGGCUGUGAAAACUCGGGGCUCAACCCCGAGCCUGCAGUCGAUACGGGCAGACUAGAGUGAUGUAGGGGAGACUGGAAUUCCUGGUGUAGCGGUGAAAUGCGCAGAUAUCAGGAGGAACACCGAUGGCGAAGGCAGGUCUCUGGGCAUUAACUGACGCUGAGGAGCGAAAGCAUGGGGAGCGAACAGG